RNAcentral lists this ribosomal RNA (270 nucleotides) under uncultured Eubacteriales bacterium. RNAcentral's name for it is "uncultured Clostridiales bacterium partial 16S ribosomal RNA". It matches the Rfam family "Bacterial small subunit ribosomal RNA", at positions 65 to 339 of the family's 1533-position model. The record is from RNAcentral. Lineage: Bacteria; Bacillati; Bacillota; Clostridia; Eubacteriales.
UUCGGGACUGAUUAUUUUGUGACUGAGUGGCGGACGGGUGAGUAACGCGUGGGUAACCUGCCUUAUACAGGGGGAUAACAGUUAGAAAUGACUGCUAAUACCGCAUAAGCGCACGGCAUCGCAUGAUGCAGUGUGAAAAACUCCGGUGGUAUAAGAUGGACCCGCGUUGGAUUAGCUAGUUGGUGAGGUAACGGCCCACCAAGGCGACGAUCCAUAGCCGACCUGAGAGGGUGACCGGCCACAUUGGAACUGAGACACGGUCCAGACUCC